Molecule: ribosomal RNA, 353 nt
Filed under: uncultured bacterium
Lineage: Bacteria
Description: bacterial SSU rRNA
Rfam family: Bacterial small subunit ribosomal RNA
Source: RNAcentral
UAAUUGAUCAUGGCUCAGAUUGCCCCGGNGGGUAACAGGCCUAACACAUGCAAGUCGAGCGGAUGACGGGAGACUUGCUACCUUGAUAUCAGCGGCGGACGGGUGCAGUAAUGCCUAGAGAAUCUGCCUGGUAGUUGGGGGACAACGUUUCGAAAGGAACGCUAAUACCGCAUACGUCCUACGGGAGAAAGCAGGGGACCUUCGGGCCUUGCGCUAUCAGAUGAGACCUAGGUCGGAUUAGCUAGUAUGGUGAGGUAAUGGCUACACCAAGGCGACGAUCCGUAACUGGUCUAGAGAGGAUGAUCAGUNCACACUGGAACUGAGACACGGNNCCAGACUCCUACGGGAGGCAG